This 484-nucleotide ribosomal RNA is filed under the name uncultured soil bacterium. RNAcentral describes it as "bacterial SSU rRNA". It matches the Rfam family "Bacterial small subunit ribosomal RNA", at positions 26 to 518 of the family's 1533-position model. The record is from RNAcentral.
AGGAUGAACGCUGGCGGCGUGCUUAACACAUGCAAGUCGAACGAUGACAGAGGAGCUUGCUCCUCUCGAUUAGUGGCGAACGGGUGAGUAACACGUGAGUAACCUGCCCUUGACUCUGGGAUAAGCGUUGGAAACGACGUCUAAUACCGGAUACGACCCUCGGAGGCAUCUCCUGAGGGUGGAAAGAAUUUCGGUCAAGGAUGGACUCGCGGCCUAUCAGCUAGUUGGUGAGGUAACGGCCCACCAAGGCGACGACGGGUAGCCGGCCUGAGAGGGUGACCGGGCCACGACCUGGGACUGGAGACACGGCCCAGACUCCUACGGGAGGCAGCAGUGGGAAUAUUGCACAAUGGGCGCAAGCCUGAUGCAGCAACGCCGCGUGAGGGACGACGGCCUUCGGUUGUAAACCUCGUUUUAGUAGGGAAGAAGCGAAAGUGACGGUACCUGACAGAAAAGCACCGGCUAACUACGUGCCAGCAGCCGC